UUGUGAUGAAACAUAAACUGAAAUAGCUGGAAUUACCGUCAGAUUGUUCAGUGGUGAUCAUAAGGUUUUCUGAAC
This 75-nucleotide small nucleolar RNA is filed under the name Oryzias latipes (Japanese medaka). Lineage: Eukaryota; Metazoa; Chordata; Actinopteri; Beloniformes; Adrianichthyidae. The record is from RNAcentral.